Molecule: ribosomal RNA, 495 nt
Filed under: uncultured bacterium
Lineage: Bacteria
Description: partial 16S ribosomal RNA
Rfam family: Bacterial small subunit ribosomal RNA
Source: RNAcentral
GACGAACGCUGGCGGCGUGCCUAAUACAUGCAAGUAGAACGCUGAAGGAGGAGCUUGCUUCUCUGGAUGAGUUGCGAACGGGUGAGUAACGCGUAGGUAACCUGCCUGGUAGCGGGGGAUAACUAUUGGAAACGAUAGCUAAUACCGCAUAAGAGUAGAUGUUGCAUGACAUUUGCUUAAAAGGUGCAAUUGCAUCACUACCAGAUGGACCUGCGUUGUAUUAGCUAGUUGGUGGGGUAACGGCUCACCAAGGCGACGAUACAUAGCCGACCUGGGAGGGGGGUCGGCCACACUGGGACUGAGACACGGCCCAGACUCCUACGGGAGGCAGCAGUAGGGAAUCUUCGGCAAUGGACGGAAGUCUGACCGAGCAACGCCGCGUGAGUGAAGAAGGUUUUCGGAUCGUAAAGCUCUGUUGUAAGAGAAGAACGAGUGUGAGAGUGGAAAGUUCACACUGUGACGGUAUCUUACCAGAAAGGGACGGCUAACUACGUG